CCUACGGGUGGCAGCAGUGAGGAAUAUUGGUCAAUGGACGCAAGUCUGAACCAGCCAAGCAGCGUGCAGGAUGACGGCUCUAUGAGUUGUAAACUGCUUUUGUACGAGGGUAAACUCCGAUACGUGUAUCGGGUUGAAAGUAUCGUAUGAAUAAGGAUCGGCUAACUCCGUGCCAGCAGCCGCGGUAAUACGGAGGAUCCGAGCGUUAUCCGGAUUUAUUGGGUUUAAAGGGUGCGUAGGCGGUUUGAUAAGUGAGAGGUGAAAUGUCGUGGCUCAACCCCGAAACUGCCUCUAAUACUGUUAGACUAGAGAAUAGUUGAGGUAGGCGGAAUGUAUGGUGUAGUGGUGAAAUGCUUAGAGAUCAUACAGAACACCGAUUGCGAAGGCAGCUUACCAAACUAUAUCUGACGUUGAGGCACGAAAGCGUGGGUAGCAAACAGGAUUAGAUACCCGAGUAGUC
This 460-nucleotide ribosomal RNA is filed under the name uncultured bacterium. RNAcentral's name for it is "partial 16S ribosomal RNA". It matches the Rfam family "Bacterial small subunit ribosomal RNA", at positions 338 to 795 of the family's 1533-position model. The record is from RNAcentral.